UUAAAAAUAAGCUAAAAUUAAGCUUUUGGGUUCAUACCCCAAAUAUAAAAGUAAACCUUUUUUUUUAAA
Molecule: transfer RNA, 69 nt
Filed under: Orybina plangonalis
Lineage: Eukaryota; Metazoa; Arthropoda; Insecta; Lepidoptera; Pyralidae
Description: tRNA-Met
Source: RNAcentral